Molecule: small RNA, 116 nt
Filed under: Salmonella enterica subsp. enterica serovar Heidelberg
Lineage: Bacteria; Pseudomonadati; Pseudomonadota; Gammaproteobacteria; Enterobacterales; Enterobacteriaceae
Also listed under: 134 other names
Description: partial RtT sRNA
Rfam family: RtT RNA
About the family: This family represents a bacterial cis-regulatory element known as RtT RNA. The exact function of RtT is unknown although it is thought that it may be involved in changing the cellular response in relation to amino acid starvation.
Source: RNAcentral
AUAUCUCUCUGUACGGGAAGGAUGAGAAGCUUCGACCAAGGUUCGAUUCGAGCGCAGCGAGAAAGCGUUGCCGCAGGCAACGACCCGAAGGGCGAAGCGCGCAGCGCUGAGUCAUC